Silurus meridionalis is the source of this 1952-nucleotide long non-coding RNA. RefSeq lists it as uncharacterized. The record is from RefSeq and is a predicted model, not a curated record. The transcript is spliced from 2 exons. Lineage: Eukaryota; Metazoa; Chordata; Actinopteri; Siluriformes; Siluridae.
GUCACAGUGUCCUACCCUCAUCUGUUUCAUUCUAUUUUCAUUCUCAUUCUAUUAAUUGUCACUCUUUCUCUGGGUGUGUGUGUGUGUGUUGUGUGUUUCAUCUUUAUCUGUGUUUAAAUAUACAAAAAAACAUCUUAAUAAUUUCCAAAUACUAUUUUUAUCAAUAUGCGUAAAGACGCGCCAACCUCUUUAUGGAGGCACAGGGCCUACAAUAUGCCUGCAUCUCCUUCUCUAAAUGCAAGAGAUCUAAAUGAACCAUAGCAGAUCCACUCCGAUCACAAAAAAAAUAAAAAAUAAAAAAAGGUGUUUAAAAAAUCAAGCUCCAUUUGUGCGCCUGCAUGGGGCAUCCACAGGUUUGACAGCUGCAGGGGCUUCUCCUCUCCCCCAUUCAACACUGUAAUUUCAGAUAAUAUCCCGAGCGUUCACCCUUGUCAGCAAUUUGUUCAUGAAUAACCGAAUAAUUUCGUCUUUUUUGUUUCGUCUUUGCUACCUCAAAUCCAAAUAAAGAUGCCUUUCAGUAUUAAAAGUGGUAGAAAAUUACAGGUAAUUAUCUUUGACGGUAAAAACGCUGUAAUCAGCGGGCUACAUCAAAAAUUACCCUAAUUAUGUCUGCAUUUAUGAGAAUAGAAAAAAAAAACCUUCACUUGGAUAAAACCCAUAAAUUGUCCCAAAUAUCUCCUUCAUAUUGAACGAGACUGCAGCUGGGUGCUUUGUUCGGGAUCGAUCCUGUGGCGAAUGGUAUUCAGCGUUUCGCACAUCAAGACAGGGAGAGAGGGGGAAAAACAUUUUGUCAAUACUGUAAUGAUUGAGACAGAGUAGAUGGACAAGAUGCGGGUCUAUAUUAUAGGAAAAACUCGAUGACAGACGACCAACUAUGGGAGCCUGAUUUGAGAUGUUCUUCUGUUGUUGAUUGCUCAACAUUGAGAGAUAUUUCAAGGGCUCAGAGAGCUGACUGAGGAGAAGUCUUUUGAAAGAGCAAAGCCCGAUGACCAGGCGAAGGAAAUCAAGGCUCCCUAGUGUGUCGCCUUAGCAACGGGUGAAAAUUAGCAUUGACUUCCGAGCAAGCCUACAAAACUAGGCUUCAGGGUAUUUUUUACAUCUUGAAAAGUGACAAUCAAAGAAGAUCUAAAGACAUGCUUCCACUUCCAUUUAUAUUGAAAUCAGCUUCUUUCUUUUUUCCGCUACCCGAACAAAAAAGUCUUAAUGUAUGUAUUUUUGCUCAUUUUACUGUGUUGUGCUGUUUCCCCGCAAUGCCCCCUUGCUCAUGUUUGCCUCCUGCCGUGGCAAACAGAACACGUCUAUAAUAGUGAAUGCAUUUCAGUGCACUUCCCAACAUGAACUAGAGAUGACACUGGCUUCCUCAUUCGCAGGCAUGAAAUUCAGCUCUCAUGAUUGCCAACAGGCUUAAUGAUAGUCUCUCCUAGAGUCACAGAAGUUUCACACUGAUGCACUUUUCCUCUAUUUCUCUCUCUCUCUCUCUCUCUCUCUCUCUCUCUCUCCAUCACAUUGCAGGGAAUUCGGGCAUCCAUGCUGAAGCAAAACCAACUAAGCCCAUCAGGAGCCGUUCUUAAGAGAACUGAAGUGCAGAUUGUUUGUGCCGAUGCAUGAAGCUGCUUGGUGUAUCUCCUCAUCACAAGCAAGCUGCACUGCCAUGUAGGAACAAGCAGGAAUAUAUUAAAAGGUAAUGAGAGAUCAGUCAGAAGAGGGUCAUGCAGGGGCACUGUUUGGCAUCACCGUUGCUGGAGAGAGCUUUCAGAGUGACGGCCUUGUUGUCUCUGUUGAGGAGCCAGAAGGGGUGGAGUUCAACGACGUUUCUCAUGGCAACAGUUGCUAAGCCUUGUUGAUGUGGUUAUUUGUAAAUCAAAGCUGGCUGCCUGGGAUUGCGAAUGAUUGUAUAUAUGUGUGUUAUUUGACAUACUAUCGACAAUUUGAAUAAAUAUUUUUCAUUCAGA